ACAGCUCAGUUGGUAGAGUAUGAGACUCUUAAUCUCAGGAUUAUGGGUUUGAGUCCCAUGUUGGGCA
Non-coding RNA from Podarcis lilfordi (Lilford's wall lizard), 67 nucleotides. The record is from the annotation of a GenBank genome assembly. Lineage: Eukaryota; Metazoa; Chordata; Lepidosauria; Squamata; Lacertidae.